AGAAUUUUGAUAAUAAAAAAAAACAAAAAAAAAAUCUGUUCUUAUCAGUAUAAUAUCUGAUAUAUGCUCUAUAUGAGGAUAACGUAGUAAGAAGAUUUUUAGCAUCAGGAGAUGAAAAAGGGGCUUGCUCUGUUCACUCCACGCAUUGACCCGGUAUUGCAGCUGCAGUCAGAGCAGAGAGG
Anarrhichthys ocellatus (wolf-eel) is the source of this 182-nucleotide small nuclear RNA. RefSeq annotates it as U2 spliceosomal RNA. The transcript has a single exon. NCBI's taxonomy places the organism in Eukaryota, Metazoa, Chordata, Actinopteri, Perciformes, Anarhichadidae. The record is from RefSeq and is a predicted model, not a curated record.